CAGUCGAGCGGUAGCACAGAGAGCUUGCUCUCGGGUGACGAGCGGCGGACGGGUGAGUAAUGUCUGGGAAACUGCCUGAUGGAGGGGGAUAACUACUGGAAACGGUAGCUAAUACCGCAUAAUGUCGCAAGACCAAAGUGGGGGACCUUCGGGCCUCAUGCCAUCAGAUGUGCCCAGAUGGGAUUAGCUAGUAGGUGGGGUAACGGCUCACCUAGGCGACGAUCCCUAGCUGGUCUGAGAGGAUGACCAGCCACACUGGAACUGAGACACGGUCCAGACUCCUACGGGAGGCAGCAGUGGGGAAUAUUGCACAAUGGGCGCAAGCCUGAUGCAGCCAUGCCGCGUGUGUGAAGAAGGCCUUCGGGUUGUAAAGCACUUUCAGCGGGGAGGAAGGCGUUAAGGUUAAUAACCUUGGCGAUUGACGUUACCCGCAGAAGAAGCACCGGCUAACUCCGUGCCAGCAGCCGCGGUAAUACGGAGGGUGCAAGCGUUAAUCGGAAUUACUGGGCGUAAAGCGCACGCAGGCGGUCUGUCAAGUCGGAUGUGAAAUCCCCGGGCUCAACCUGGGAACUGCAUUCGAAACUGGCAGGCUAGAGUCUUGUAGAGGGGGGGUAGAAUUCCAGGUGUAGCGGUGAAAUGCGUAGAGAUCUGGAGGAAUACCGGUGGCGAAGGCGGCCCCCUGGACAAAGACUGACGCUCAGGUGCGAAAGCGUGGGGAGCAAACAGGAUUAGAUACCCUGGUAGUCCACGCCGUAAACGAUGUCGAUUUGGAGGUUGUGCCCUUGAGGCGUGGCUUCCGGAGCUAACGCGUUAAAUCGACCGCCUGGGGAGUACGGCCGCAAGGUUAAAACUCAAAUGAAUUGACGGGGGCCCGCACAAGCGGUGGAGCAUGUGGUUUAAUUCGAUGCAACGCGAAGAACCUUACCUGGUCUUGACAUCCACAGAACUUUCCAGAGAUGGAUUGGUGCCUUCGGGAACUGUGAGACAGGUGCUGCAUGGCUGUCGUCAGCUCGUGUUGUGAAAUGUUGGGUUAAGUCCCGCAACGAGCGCAACCCUUAUCCUUUGUUGCCAGCGGUUCGGCCGGGAACUCAAAGGAGACUGCCAGUGAUAAACUGGAGGAAGGUGGGGAUGACGUCAAGUCAUCAUGGCCCUUACGACCAGGGCUACACACGUGCUACAAUGGCAUAUACAAAGAGAAGCGACCUCGCGAGAGCAAGCGGACCUCAUAAAGUAUGUCGUAGUCCGGAUUGGAGUCUGCAACUCGACUCCAUGAAGUCGGAAUCGCUAGUAAUCGUAGAUCAGAAUGCUACGGUGAAUACGUUCCCGGGCCUUGUACACACCGCCCGUCACACCAUGGGAGUGGGUUGCAAAAGAAGUAGGUAGCUUAACCUUCGGGAGGGCG
RNAcentral lists this ribosomal RNA (1402 nucleotides) under Klebsiella pneumoniae subsp. ozaenae. RNAcentral's name for it is "bacterial SSU rRNA". It matches the Rfam family "Bacterial small subunit ribosomal RNA". The record is from RNAcentral. Lineage: Bacteria; Pseudomonadati; Pseudomonadota; Gammaproteobacteria; Enterobacterales; Enterobacteriaceae.